CCUACGGGUGGCAGCAGUGGGGGAUAUUGCACAAUGGGGGGAACCCUGAUGCAGCGACGCCGCGUGGGUGAAGCAUCGCCUCGGCGCGUAAAGCCCUGUCAGCAGGGAAGAAAAUGACGGUCCCUGAAGAAGAAGCCCCGGCUAACUACGUGCCAGCCGCCGCGGUAAUACGUAGGGGGCAAGCGUUAUCCGGAUUUACUGGGUGUAAAGGGGGCGCAGACGGCGAUGCAAGACAGGAGUGAAAGCCCGGGGCCCAACCCCGGGACUGCUCUGGGAACUGCGUGGCUGGAGUGCAGGAGGGGUAAGCGGAAUGCCUGGUGUAGCGGUGAAAUGCGUAGAUAGCAGGAGGAACACCGGUGGCGAAGGCGGCCUGCUGGACUGCAACUGACGUGGAGGCCCGAAAGCGUGGGGAGCAAACAGGAUUAGAUACCCUUGUAGUC
This 440-nucleotide ribosomal RNA is filed under the name uncultured bacterium. RNAcentral describes it as "partial 16S ribosomal RNA". It matches the Rfam family "Bacterial small subunit ribosomal RNA", at positions 338 to 795 of the family's 1533-position model. The record is from RNAcentral.